Molecule: long non-coding RNA, 573 nt
Organism: Cyprinus carpio (common carp)
Lineage: Eukaryota; Metazoa; Chordata; Actinopteri; Cypriniformes; Cyprinidae
Source: Ensembl
GUGCAUGGCAUCUUUAUACAAAGAAACUAACUGGCCCAGCAAGUUGGAAGCAGUGAAAUAUGACUUCAUACAGAAACUUGUUGAUCGUGGUUUCAGUUUCAAGGACAAAAUUUCAAAACUUCAGUUUGACAGACAUCUGGGCAGUGCUAUUUAUAACCAAGAUUGUGAAAGAGAUACUUCCAGUUUCGGAAGUCAGUUUGACCAAGGAGUUCAAAUAAAAGACCAGUCCGAGAUGGACAUGCUGUUCCUGCAAGACUUGAUGGAUGACCAAGCAUCUUCAGACAGAAAACAGACAGAUGUUCACUCCCACAGCGCUCCACAUGUGGAAAAGGCUGGCAAAGUGCUUUUGGCACUUGUGGAAGUGAAUCUUCUGGUCUUAAAAGAGGAGGAUCCUUCAUCCCAAAUUAAAAUUCUGAAUGGCUUACUGAAAGUCACUGACAAAAACCCAACAUACAUGUAAAGAAGUGCACAUUGACUUCCCUGAAAUGGCAAAAGAGGAGGAAUCUGCUCCAAAUGACUUUUAUGUGUUUAAAGGCCAAAAUAAACCGAUAGUAAUUCAUAUUCCUCUUUUCA